GACGGAGGAGGCUAGCGUUGUUCGGAAUUACUGGGCGUAAAGCGUACGCAGGUGGCGAAACCAGUCGGAUGUGAAAGCCCGGGGCUCAACCCCGGAUGUGCAUCCGAUACUGUUUUGCUGGAGUCCGGAAGAGGAGAGCGGAAUUCCCAGUGUAGAGGUGAAAUUCGUAGAUAUUGGGAAGAACACCGGUGGCGAAGGCGGCUCUCUGGUCCGGUACUGACACUCAAGUACGAAAGCGUGGGGAGCAAACAGGAUUAGAUACCCUGGUAGUCCACGCCGUAAACGAUGCGCGCUAGAUGUCGGGGGGCUUGCCCUUCGGUGUCGCAGCUAACGCGGUAAGCGCGCCGCCUGGGGAGUACGGCCGCAAGGUUA
RNAcentral lists this ribosomal RNA (372 nucleotides) under uncultured prokaryote. RNAcentral describes it as "bacterial SSU rRNA". It matches the Rfam family "Bacterial small subunit ribosomal RNA", at positions 524 to 896 of the family's 1533-position model. The record is from RNAcentral.